RNAcentral lists this ribosomal RNA (234 nucleotides) under Triticum aestivum (bread wheat). RNAcentral describes it as "partial small subunit ribosomal RNA". Lineage: Eukaryota; Viridiplantae; Streptophyta; Magnoliopsida; Poales; Poaceae. The record is from RNAcentral.
AUGGAGAUCUUGAUGGAGUACGAUGAUGGCGAUGUGGCGCAGGUGGACCUCAUGGAGUUCGGCUGGGCUGGCGGCGGUGGACGCGGAUGCAUGAGUUGUGGGGCUCCAUCUGUCGCUCGACCACCGCUUACUCCCACUCUGUUCACUGGUUUUGUUUUCACUGUCACGCCUGUUCCUCGUCAACCUGCAGCAGCAGGAGACAUGAGAUCACCUCCGGCACCGCUGGUCACAUGA